UACGUAGGCAGCAAGCGUUGUUCGGAGUUACUGGGCGUAAAGGGUGUGUAGGCGGUCCCCUAAGUUUGGUGUGAAAUCUCCCGGCUCAACUGGGAGGGUGCGCCGAAAACUGGGGGGCUAGAGUACUGGAUGGGAGAGUGGAAUUCCUGGUGUAGCGGUGAAAUGCGUAGAUAUCAUCAGGAACACCGGUGGCGAAAGCGGCUUACUGGGUCUCUUCUGACGCUGAGGAACGAAAGCUAGGGUAGCGAACGGG
RNAcentral lists this ribosomal RNA (253 nucleotides) under uncultured bacterium. RNAcentral describes it as "partial 16S ribosomal RNA". It matches the Rfam family "Bacterial small subunit ribosomal RNA", at positions 524 to 776 of the family's 1533-position model. The record is from RNAcentral.